UUAAGCCUACGGGACGCAGCAGUAGGGAAUCUUCCACAAUGGACGAAAGUCUGAUGGAGCAACGCCGCGUGAGUGAAGAAGGGUUUCGGCUCGUAAAGCUCUGUUGGUAGUGAAGAAAGAUAGAGGUAGUAACUGGCCUUUAUUUGACGGUAAUUACUUAGAAAGUCACGGCUAACUAAGUGCCAGCAGCCGCGGUAAUACGUAGGGGGCAAGCGUUGUCCGGAUUUAUUGGGCGUAAAG
This 240-nucleotide ribosomal RNA is filed under the name uncultured bacterium. RNAcentral's name for it is "partial 16S ribosomal RNA". It matches the Rfam family "Bacterial small subunit ribosomal RNA", at positions 333 to 565 of the family's 1533-position model. The record is from RNAcentral.